AUUAUUUGAUUAUAGAUUGAUAUAGAAUAUAUUAAAGUUGUUGGUUUACCAACUAUGACGAUAAACGAAUUUCGUAAUAACCAUUGCGGACGUGGGGGCAGUACCCACCACCUCCACCAAUAAUUUAUAUGGGGGUGAACUAGAUUCGACGAGUGUCUAAAGGCUAUUCUUUCGUUCGGAAUUGUUCCACCGUAACGGGCUAAUUUAUAAUUGCUAACGAAAGUUACGCACUUGCUGCCUAAUUAACUUGGUUAAUUAAGCAAACGGGGUUUGGGGCACCUGGCAACAGAACGCCCCUAAA
Molecule: transfer-messenger RNA, 301 nt
Filed under: Candidatus Pelagibacter sp.
Lineage: Bacteria; Pseudomonadati; Pseudomonadota; Alphaproteobacteria; Candidatus Pelagibacterales; Candidatus Pelagibacteraceae
Rfam family: Alphaproteobacteria transfer-messenger RNA
About the family: Bacterial tmRNA, also known as 10Sa RNA or SsrA, is named for its dual tRNA and mRNA-like properties.
Source: RNAcentral